GACAGAGGUCCCGAGCGUUAGGCGGAAUCACUGGGCUUAAAGCGUGUGUAGGCGGCGGCCUAAGUACCUUGUGAAAUCCCACGGCUCACCCGUGGAACUGCUCGGUAUACUGGGUCGCUUGAGCCACUUAGGGGCUACCGGAACAAAUGGUGGAGCGGUGAAAUGCGUAGAUAUCAUUUGGAACGCCAAUGGUGAAAACAGGUAGCUGGGAGUGUGCUGACGCUGGGACACGAAAGCCAGGGGAGCAAACGGG
Molecule: ribosomal RNA, 253 nt
Filed under: uncultured bacterium
Lineage: Bacteria
Description: partial 16S ribosomal RNA
Rfam family: Bacterial small subunit ribosomal RNA
Source: RNAcentral